This 470-nucleotide ribosomal RNA is filed under the name Orthonecroscia keatsooni. RNAcentral's name for it is "partial large subunit ribosomal RNA". It matches the Rfam family "Bacterial large subunit ribosomal RNA", at positions 1939 to 2621 of the family's 2925-position model. Lineage: Eukaryota; Metazoa; Arthropoda; Insecta; Phasmatodea; Lonchodidae. The record is from RNAcentral.
AUUUUGACCGUGCAAAGGUAGCAUAAUCAUUAGUUCAUUAAUUGUGGACUUGUAUGAAUGGUUGGACGAAAUAUUGACUGUCUCAUAGUAUAAUUUUAUAAUUUAAAUUUUAAGUUAAAAUGCUUAAGUUUUUUUAUAGGACGAGAAGACCCUAUAGAUCUUUAUUAUAUUCUGUUUUAUUCUUAUUUUUGUAUUUAUUUUAUUAAUAUAGUUUAUUUUUUUGUUGGGGUGACAUUGAGAUAUAAUUAACUCUUUUUUAUAUUAAUCAUUUAUUUUUGUUUAUUUGACCUUUUAUUAUUGUUAUAAGAUAUAGAUACCUUAGGGAUAACAGCGUAAUAUUUUUUGAGAGUUCAUAUCGACGAAAUAGAUUGCGACCUCGAUGUUGGAUUAAGAUUAUACUUAGGGGUAGGUUCUUAAGUAUUAAGUCUGUUCGACUUUUAAAUUCUUACAUGAUCUGAGUUCAAAAACCG